RNAcentral lists this ribosomal RNA (602 nucleotides) under uncultured bacterium. Its description in RNAcentral is "bacterial SSU rRNA". It matches the Rfam family "Bacterial small subunit ribosomal RNA", at positions 61 to 686 of the family's 1533-position model. The record is from RNAcentral.
GUCGCACGGGUCCCGCAAGGGACCAGUGGCGAACGGGUGCGUAACACGUGAGGAACUUGCCUAUCGGCGGGGGAUAGCCGGCCCAACGGCCGGGUAAUACCGCGUACGCCCCCUGGAGGGCAUCCCCCGGGGGGGAAAGCAGCAAUGCGCCGAUAGAGAGCCUCGCGGCCUAUCAGCUAGUUGGUGAGGUUACGGCUCACCAAGGCGACGACGGGUAGCUGGUCUGAGAGGAUGAUCAGCCACAUUGGGACUGAGACACGGCCCAGACUCCUACGGGGGGCAGCAGUGGGGAAUCUUGCGCAAUGGGCGAAAGCCUGACGCAGCGACGCCGCGUGAGGGAUGACGGCCUUCGGGUUGUAAACCUCUGUCGGGAGGGACGAAGCUCUGACGGUACCUCCAAAGGAAGCACCGGCUAACUCUGUGCCAGCAGCCGCGGUAAUACAGAGGGUGCGAGCGUUGUCCGGAAUCACUGGGCGUAAAGGGCGCGUAGGCGGCUGGGUAAGUCGGGGGUGAAACGCUGCGGCUCAACCGCAGCACUGCCUUCGAGACUGCCUGGCUUGAGCACGGUAGAGGCUGGUGGAAUUCCCGGUGUAGCGGUGGAA